CGUUUGUUCAACGAUUAAAACCUCACGCGAUCUGAGUUCAGACCGGAGAAAUCCAGGUCAGUUUCUAUCUGUAAAGAGCUCUUUCCAGUACGAAAGGACAGAAAUAGCAUGGCCAAUAUAUUAUGCAAGCCGUAUUUAAUAACUUCUGAUUAUUCUUAAAAAAUUAUUACCCUCCUACUUUUACUCAAAACCAGAGAA
RNAcentral lists this ribosomal RNA (198 nucleotides) under Eleutherodactylus atkinsi (Atkin's robber frog). RNAcentral's name for it is "partial 16S ribosomal RNA". The record is from RNAcentral. Lineage: Eukaryota; Metazoa; Chordata; Amphibia; Anura; Eleutherodactylidae.